CCUACGGGAGGCUGCAGUGGGGAAUAUUGGACAAUGGGGGGAACCCUGAUCCAGCCAUGCCGCGUGUGUGAAGAAGGCCCUCGGGUUGUAAAGCACUUUCAGUGAGGAAGAACGCCUGGUGGUUAAUACCCAUCAGGAAAGACAUCACUCACAGAAGAAGCACCGGCUAACUCCGUGCCAGCAGCCGCGGUAAUACGGAGGGUGCGAGCGUUAAUCGGAAUUACUGGGCGUAAAGCGCGCGUAGGUGGCUUGAUAAGCCGGUUGUGAAAGCCCCGGGCUCAACCUGGGAACGGCAUCCGGAACUGUCAAGCUAGAGUGCAGGAGAGGAAGGUAAAAUUCCCGGUGUAGCGGUGAAAUGCGUAGAGAUCGGGAGGAAUACCAGUGGCGAAGGCGGCCUUCUGGACUGACACUGACACUGAGGUGCGAAAGCGUGGGUAGCAAACAGGAUUAGAUACCCUAGUAGUC
This 465-nucleotide ribosomal RNA is filed under the name Vreelandella stevensii. Its description in RNAcentral is "partial 16S ribosomal RNA". It matches the Rfam family "Bacterial small subunit ribosomal RNA", at positions 338 to 795 of the family's 1533-position model. The record is from RNAcentral. Lineage: Bacteria; Pseudomonadati; Pseudomonadota; Gammaproteobacteria; Oceanospirillales; Halomonadaceae.